GAUGAACGCUGGCGGCGUGCCUAAUACAUGCAAGUCGAGCGAACGGACGAGAAGCUUGCUUCUCUGAUGUUAGCGGCGGACGGGUGAGUAACACGUGGAUAACCUACCUAUAAGACUGGGAUAACUUCGGGAAACCGGAGCUAAUACCGGAUGAUAUUUUGAACCGCAUGGUUCAAAAGUGAAAGACGGUCUUGCUGUCACUUAUAGAUGGAUCCGCGCUGCAUUAGCUAGUUGGUAAGGUAAUGGCUUACCAAGGCAACGAUGCAUAGCCGACCUGAGAGGGUGAUAGGCCACACUGGAACGGAGACACGGUCCAGACUCCUACGGGAGGCAGCAGUAGGGAAUCUUCCGCAAUGGGCGAAAGCCUGACGGAGCAACGCCGCGUGAGUGAUGAAGGUCUUCGGAUCGUAAAACUCUGUUAUUAGGGAAGAACAUAUGUGUAAGUAACUGUGCACAUCUUGACGGUACCUAAUCAGAAAGCCACGGCUAACUACGUG
RNAcentral lists this ribosomal RNA (497 nucleotides) under uncultured bacterium. Its description in RNAcentral is "partial 16S ribosomal RNA". It matches the Rfam family "Bacterial small subunit ribosomal RNA", at positions 28 to 507 of the family's 1533-position model. The record is from RNAcentral.